CAAGGAAUAGUUUAAGUAGAAUGUCAGCUUUGGGUGUUGAUGGUGGAGGUUUAAGCUUCUUCCUUGA
Molecule: transfer RNA, 67 nt
Filed under: Macroglossus minimus (lesser long-tongued fruit bat)
Lineage: Eukaryota; Metazoa; Chordata; Mammalia; Chiroptera; Pteropodidae
Also listed under: 1 other name
Description: tRNA-Pro
Rfam family: tRNA
About the family: Transfer RNA (tRNA) molecules are approximately 80 nucleotides in length. Their secondary structure includes four short double-helical elements and three loops (D, anti-codon, and T loops).
Source: RNAcentral